CAAGUUUUGAAACCGUAGAUUGUGCAGCUUACCAAGUGUCAUUUGAUGGUAGACGAGCAUUUGUUAUACAAUCGGAUGUCCGUGUGUGUCAUCUCUUAGACAAACAAAAUGGCAGAUUUUAAAGAUUUAUUAGCUAACAACGGAUAUGGCAAUUAGAUGAAAUGCUCCUUAGCACAAAAUAGUGUUCGCAUCAUUCUAAGAAGGUGGUGGAAUCAGAGAUGGAUGCUUUUCAGAAGGACAUACCGCAAAGUAUUCAGUAUUCAAAGAGGCUAGCAUCAAGCACAACCUGCAAUCAAUGUCAAACUCAUAAUCUUCUUCCAUGUCCCACUUAAAAACUGUGUCAUUUACACCACAAAAUAUGUUCAUUCCACAAUGGACCAAGCCUGCAACGUCGACCAUGCCCUACACAUGGUCUCUGUGAUUAUAAUUGAUACACAUCGUUUUCGGGGAUCGUACUGGAAAAGCACGGACUCUAAAAAUGGUGUACCUUUGCAUGGACGAUUGCAAAGUGUUUUAUGCCGACAGAUGGUUAUACUAACGCAACCUCAGCUGCUGAAACGGAUUUUAAUGCUGAAGACAGACACAUCAGUCUGGUCAUUUCGGUGGCUGACAUGAACAGUGCAUUGGAAGAGGCAAAACAGUCCAUGAAGACAUUUUUUGAAACUCUCAAAAAAGAAACCAUUGUUGAUUUGGACACACAAACAUUAAGUUACAGUCUUCAAACAAUUAAGACAAUACAAGCUACUAUAGACGAAGUCCGUUUCAUAAUACAGCUACAGUCCUCAAGCAACUUGGUAUUGCAUGAUGUAUUUCCAGCUGAAAAACAUUACGAUAAGGAACGUGUUUAUUAUAACGAUCUUAAAAGCAUUGAGAGUACAAAAGAAGGCUUUACUACCUUUGAAAUUAAAGUAGAAAAUUUAUAAUAUCAUACUCAGUGUAAGGGAACAACUACGAAUUACCCGCAGAGCAAUCAAUGUAUAUUAUUUUGACUAUUUUGCCUUAUAUAACGAAAUGAUUCGGUAUGUGUAUAUGUCUUGGCUUGAGCUCAACACCGUUGAGUAGGAUACGUGUAAAGUACUCGUUUAUGAUAUAAAGAAAAUGUAGACUCGCAUUAAUAGUGCACAUGGAACAUAAACUGUUGUUUCAGUAACACAUCUUUUCAAGCUACAUUAUUAAGAACUCGGUAUAUAUAAUAAGUUCGUUGAUUAUUCAACGGAAUUUGGAAGUUUAUAUUAUAAAGUCAAACGCGUGAGA
This is a long non-coding RNA of Dreissena polymorpha, 1254 nucleotides long. RefSeq lists it as uncharacterized. The transcript has 3 exons. The record is from RefSeq and is a predicted model, not a curated record. Lineage: Eukaryota; Metazoa; Mollusca; Bivalvia; Myida; Dreissenidae.